RNAcentral lists this ribosomal RNA (497 nucleotides) under uncultured bacterium. RNAcentral's name for it is "partial 16S ribosomal RNA". It matches the Rfam family "Bacterial small subunit ribosomal RNA", at positions 28 to 507 of the family's 1533-position model. The record is from RNAcentral.
GAUGAACGCUGGCGGCGUGCCUAAUACAUGCAAGUCGAGCGAACAGACGAGGAGCUUGCUCCUCUGACGUUAGCGGCGGACGGGUGAGUAACACGUGGAUAACCUACCUAUAAGACUGGGAUAACUUCGGGAAACCGGAGCUAAUACCGGAUAAUAUAUUGAACCGCAUGGUUCAAUAGUGAAAGACGGUUUUGCUGUCACUUAUAGAUGGAUCCGCGCCGCAUUAGCUAGUUGGUAAGGUAACGGCUUACCAAGGCGACGAUGCGUAGCCGACCUGAGAGGGUGAUCGGCCACACUGGAACUGAGACACGGUCCAGACUCCUACGGGAGGCAGCAGUAGGGAAUCUUCCGCAAUGGGCGAAAGCCUGACGGAGCAACGCCGCGUGAGUGAUGAAGGUCUUCGGAUCGUAAAACUCUGUUAUUAGGGAAGAACAAAUGUGUAAGUAAUUAUGCACGUCUUGACGGUACCUAAUCAGAAAGCCACGGCUAACUACGUG